Molecule: long non-coding RNA, 618 nt
Organism: Gallus gallus (chicken)
Lineage: Eukaryota; Metazoa; Chordata; Aves; Galliformes; Phasianidae
Exons: 3
Source: RefSeq, a predicted model, not a curated record
CCUGUUGAAAUCGGUGCACUCUAGAAUGGAAUCCAGCUGUGAUAUCAGCCUUUGUUCCACUAGUGGGGCAACCACUUUGAAAGCACCAUGAGGGUAAACAAGAAACUCCAAUGUGGAUGUGUAAGGAAUAUUGUGAAGAGCCUUCCUGUACAUUGAAGACUAAUGUACGUGCCAUGCAAGAAGACGAAUGUUCACGAUAAGUAAAAAUUCGCGUGGAACAGAGAAAAUCUUGCAAGAAGUUCUUGCGAUCCCACAGACCUUCAGUGGCUCUGUAUUUCACAAAGGUUGCUAGUGUGAUUACUAAAUGAAACUGAGAGCUUGAGUCUGGAUAGGCAUCAGCAGAUCGAAAUACAAACAGAAACAACAAACCAACAGAAAGACUUCAGUCCAUCUGUUUUAUAGAGAUUUUGUUCAUAAUCAAUUUGAUCAUCCAUGGACAAAGUUAGGAAGAGGAAAAUCCUGGUCAGGUCUCAGAGAACUGAGAGUUGUCUUCAGUACAUACAAUCCAACUUUCCCAGCGCAAAUAUACAUUCAUUUACAAAAUCUGCAGAAAUUUUGCUUGCCCUUAUCUUCAGCAAACAGAAACUUAAGGCCUCAAGGACAUUUGAAAAUAUUACA